This 253-nucleotide ribosomal RNA is filed under the name uncultured bacterium. Its description in RNAcentral is "partial 16S ribosomal RNA". It matches the Rfam family "Bacterial small subunit ribosomal RNA", at positions 524 to 776 of the family's 1533-position model. The record is from RNAcentral.
GACGUAGGGGGCGAGCGUUGUCCGGAUUUAUUGGGCGUAAAGCGUGCGUAGGCGGCUGCGCAAGUCGGUUGUGAAACCCCGGGGCUCAACCCCGGAACUGCAUCCGAUACUGCGUGGCUAGAGGUAGGUAGGGGAGAUCGGAAUUCCUGGUGUAGCGGUGAAAUGCGCAGAUAUUAGGAAGAACACCAGUGGCGAAGGCGGCUCACUGGUCCGGUACUGACGCUAAGGCGCGAAAGCGUGGGGAGCGAACAGG